This is a non-coding RNA of Myodes glareolus (Bank vole), 3286 nucleotides long. The record is from RefSeq and is a predicted model, not a curated record. NCBI's taxonomy places the organism in Eukaryota, Metazoa, Chordata, Mammalia, Rodentia, Cricetidae.
GGCGGGAUCCCGGGCGGGAGACAGAGGUUAGGCCGCGGGCGGAGGCCAGAGACAGUGUCCGGGCCAGAAGGUGUCCGGGCGGCCCGGAAGACGCGAGGUGGGACCACACGCUGCCCGUGGAGACGGGAGUGGGUUUGCCCCCUUCUCCGGGUGGAGGGCGUGUUGCGGGCCACCCACCGAAACUCUUGCACCCACCUAAUCUCUGCUCCAGGAUUCGGCUCAAUCGCGGGAGCCAGCGCCACAGUGGUCGAGUCUGAGAACCUAAAUCAUCCUGGCCCCCUCUCCCCUGUCUCUUUAAGCCAUUUGUCAAGCCUCUCUGUCCAGACCCCGUUCCAUCUCUUGCUUCAGCAUCUUAGUUCAACCACCCGAGUUCAUAUAGCUGCCUAACUCGUUCAUUUCUUUCUCUUUCUUGUUUUUCUUUUCUUUUUUUGCUGUUCCCCUGAAAUAGGCUAGAGGAGUUCCCAGUUCAUCUUCACAUAGUCUGUCUCAUGUUACAGUGGAGGAGGAGGAGGACAUACCAACUAAACAGAUGUGUGUAGGUAGUGAAAGGCCAGUGUUGAGAGGGGCAAGGCGGCCAGAAAAGUCAUUUUACCUCACCGGUCUAACCGGAACUGAGGAGUGGAAGAAGCCAGUCUUAUUCUGCAACCAGUGUUUUCACACCUGCUUAGAAUGUGCAUAUAACUUCCCCAAUACCCUUCCUUCCAGACAGUGCCAUAGCGCCCACAGAUUGGAGCUGGUAUUUCAUAACGAAUUAAAGGAAGCGCUUCAUUAAAUCAGGCGUUUGUGUUUUUCCAUGAGGGUGUUCCUGUGAGGCAUUCUCUUCCAGCCGUACUGAAUACCUUCAAGGCAGCUUCAUUUGGGUUCCUGCAAGCCUUUGCACAUUGUUCCCUCUGAUUGGAAGUACCUUUCUCCGUGUUUCCCCCCACGUACCCAAAUGGCCAGUCUUUUGGAUCUCAGAAUGUAGGCAGCUGUUCCCGGGCAGUCUCUCCUGCCUCAGACAAGGUUGGAAGUCCCUCCCCCUGGUUCUUAUUUUUGACAUAGUGUUACAGUAAAUUUUUGGUUUACCUGGCCUUGUCUCUUAGACUAAGCUUUUGGAAACCGGAGACUUUGUCUCUGUAACUUUAUCAGUUUUUCAAGGUAAGCAGGCAAUAUACUUAUUUACUCCUAUUUACAGGUGGGAAAAGCGUGACUCAUUUGAGCAGACCCUAGAAAACAGUAUGCGUUUUAGCGGCCUUUAUCAUACAUGGAAGUUUUCUUAGUAUAAAACUUGUAUACAUUUAUGUGAGUGUGUGUGUUUAUUUUGAGGUGGGCUAUCCGAGCUCUGCCUGCCUCUGACCCCAGUGCUGGUGAAAGGCAUGUGUCACCACGCCCACCCCAAGUAGACCUCAAGUGUGGCUCUGAAUUUCCAGAGUGACUUGUCAGUUUGUCCAGAGAUGACUCAGCGGCCACAGCAGGUUGUGUGUGGAAGCAUGUGAGACCUUUUGGAGGAGGCACAAGAACAGAUACGUGCACUGGUGGGAAGGACUGACUUCCUAGGUUUCCAGCCUUCUUGUGUGGGGCAGUGAGCUGUCAUUUGCUGGAGGAGUUUGUUUUGAAGGGGUUAGCUUACAGUUAACUCACAGUAUAAGACUUUCAGUAGCUGAGAAGAGAGGUGUUGAAAAGAGCUAAAAUUUGAAAACUAUCCCUUCUUGAUUUGUGAGCACAUUUGACUCAGUUAAGAGCUGGGAAGGAACGGUGUAUGGUGUAAAAUAAUCAAGCCUACGUUUCUCAUGAGAUCAUUACUUUGGGACUUUGAGAAUAAAAAUGUUCCGUGAUUUCAUUGGUGUGAAACAAAAACCCUGGUUCCCAUUUAGAAGGUCUGAGAAAGAAUGAUUUAAAACAAAUCUUGGGGGCCGAUGAUCAUAACUGUAAGGCAGGCUGAUCCCAAACAGGAGGACCCCCAACUUGGGCCCAACACUGGCUAUAAAAACCCAAAAGCGGAGUAGGGGACCUCUGGGAAUUGAAGUGUGGUGAACUUGCAUAGUGUGUAGACUUCCUGGUUCAAUGGAAUGUGUAUUUGUAUGAUCUACUGGUAUUGAUUUUUCAGAAGUCUGUCAAUACAACUUUGAAGAUAUUUGCCAAAAGGCAGUGGUUGUCUUGUCUUAGUGACUGGUUCAGGGAGCUGUGGAAGUUGGAAAUGAUGAGUUAUGAAAUUACCUUGCAGUUUCUGCAUAAUGGUUGGGCCAUGGAUGUCUUUGAUAGAGUCUUGAUUUGGGAAAGGUCUUCAGCUUUAAAUGUAGCCCAUGUAGCUGAUGGGGGAGAACAGGAGAAGAGAGCUGAAAUAAGUACUGUAUUUAAGUGUAGAGUUGCAGAAAUAAUCCUUGGGGAGUGUAGGGAAAGACUGUUUCAGACUUGUCAGACAGUGCUGAUGUCACAGAGUCAUCAUUACAGGUCCAGAAUUCUCCUGAUUCUGUCCACUUGUGUAGAGUGGGCCUUAGACAGUUGAUAAUACAGUGAUCUCUAACAACGCUUGAUUUUUACAAAGAUGCAUGCUGUCUUUCGCUAUAAAUCACUUAACCUAUUUAAGCUAAUUUAGAAUUCUCUGUUGGUGAAACUUGGCACGGUGGCAUACACCUGUAGUCCUAGCGCAUGGGAGACAGAGGCAGGCAGAUCUCUGUGAGUUCCAGGCCCACCUGGUCUGUGAAUAGAUCUCUCUCUCUCUCUCCCUCUCUCUCUCUCUCUCUCUCUCUUCCCCCUAGAUUUCAAAGCAGAGACUGUUGACUCUUGGCUGAAUUUAUAUUCUGACAACUUGGAGACUUUGCAAAUUCAUGUUAAACUGCUGUCUUCCAGAGACCCGAACCCCUGCUUCUCUUCCUUCCCAGCUGUGUGUGUGUGUGUGUGUGUGUGCGCGCUCUGACAUAGCACUUAGCAUUUUCCCCAGUUCCCUGUUCUCUUCCCUCCCAGCUGUGUGUGUGUGUGUGCGUGUGUGUGCUCUGACAUAGCACUUAGCAUUCUUUCCAGUCCUGGCUUUGCCUCUGCCACAGCCCUGGUGACUGUUUCCAGUAUUACGUCAUCUCUUUCCUCAGCUACAUUUAGGUGAUGUUCCCUGAGCGCGUUAGUUUCCAGCAGACUCCUAAGACCUGCAGUUGUUCAGUGACACAGCUAGCUGUUGACUAUUGGGAUGAGGAAGAGCUCCCCAGACGGCUGUCACCCAUCUUCUGUUACCAGGUUGUUAAGAGUUGAGAUUGAGAGACUGUGCUGUGACAUUCCACAGCAUGUCUUUGUUUUCACAGGUUCCCUUUGGAGU